GUACAUAUCAACAACGGCAAAAAGUCCCUCUGGGACAUUGGCGACAGCAAUGCCUUGUGAAACACCAUUGACAUAGAAUAUCAAUUCGCGCUGUAAAAUUACAGAGCAGCAUGAGCACCUGGUAAAGGUUAGCCUGUCAAAUUUAACAAACACAAAACAAGUCUCACACCACAAACUUGAUGCACUGCAGGAUUAAUAAUAUAUAGUGGAAUCUUUGGAAACGUUAUUCGAAAGAACGAAUUUCGUUCCACAAAGAACAGGAAAAGAGACAGAGAGAGAUAUAUAUAGAGAUAAAGACAGAAAGAGAGGAGGCAAAGACAGACGCAUGAUGCUUCCAUUAUAAGGGAGAGGGUGCACACGCGGAGGCGACAGACCGAGGGCGCGAGAGCGUCUCUCGAGGGAGGUACAUACCUUCUU
Long non-coding RNA from Odontomachus brunneus, 417 nucleotides. RefSeq lists it as uncharacterized. The transcript has 3 exons. The record is from RefSeq and is a predicted model, not a curated record. NCBI's taxonomy places the organism in Eukaryota, Metazoa, Arthropoda, Insecta, Hymenoptera, Formicidae.